CCCUCUGGGGUGCAGCAGGCGACACUGUCGAAGGCGCUACCUCCGGAAAUACGGGAAUCGUGGUAGCGGUCUAUGUGGUUUCCGGCACAUGGGCAGGCGGAGACGCGGCAGGAUUCCUCUAUCUGAAGUAUCCUGGUGCGGAUUGGAGCGACUGGACCAACCCCGAGAACAUCCAGGUGGGCGAGGUCACCAGAGCAGCGACAACUGGGGUUGGCAAAGCUCUUGGGCUUACCAGGCAGAAUACAGAGACUUAUUGCAACACCAUCGGCAGCACUCGGUGGGGCUGUGAGAAUGUUUGGACAUUAGAUGCGUUGACGAUGCUCUACUUGGUUGAGUACGCCAACUGGAAUUCGCAGAGUACUUCUGUCGGAAUUGGCGGGGGGGC
RNAcentral lists this ribosomal RNA (385 nucleotides) under uncultured prokaryote. RNAcentral describes it as "partial 16S ribosomal RNA". The record is from RNAcentral.